Molecule: long non-coding RNA, 635 nt
Organism: Pseudomyrmex gracilis
Lineage: Eukaryota; Metazoa; Arthropoda; Insecta; Hymenoptera; Formicidae
Exons: 3
Source: RefSeq, a predicted model, not a curated record
UACUAUAUUCCGCCAAUUCCGAAAAAAUUAUCGCGAAUUGGAAAAUCUAUAAUUUCACGUGGAAAACUAGUGAACAAAUAUCGAAACAAACUACGCGCUUUGAAACUUAUUCAUGAGUAUAAAUCAUCAGUAGACGAUCUAUCCGAUCAUAGAACCGACAAUUCGGACUCAUUCUCUGAUGAAGAAGUUAUUCUCGAAGCUAAAGCAUGGUUGCAAAGUCAUUCAAUGCCAUAGGAAAUUGUUGGUAAAAAUUGGAAACUUACGGCUAAAUAUCGACGAAAAAGUAUAAAAUCAAACCGUGAUUUAAAAUUGUGUCAAAUUUUUGAAAGUUGGCCCGUUCUCAAACAUCCCAAUGCAUAUACAUUAAUUGAAGAAGAUUAUUCUUAUCUAAAAUUGCCAACGCAAGAAUUAACAUUAGAAAGUUGGGAAAAGUUUUUUGCAAAAAUUUUAGCUGUUCGAUCACCGAAGAAAGACGAUAACAAUGCGCAAGCUUUGCUAACGCUGAUUCAAAGCGACAAUUUGACAGAUAAUACAAAAAUUAUUUUGCAACUGAGACUUCUUCCACAUUUACUUCUACCUAAAAGCCGAACCCGUCUGAAAAAAAGUNAAUGGAAACCAUCGAUACCUGAAUGUAA